This 433-nucleotide ribosomal RNA is filed under the name uncultured bacterium. RNAcentral describes it as "partial 16S ribosomal RNA". It matches the Rfam family "Bacterial small subunit ribosomal RNA", at positions 29 to 507 of the family's 1533-position model. The record is from RNAcentral.
AACGAACGCUGGCGGCAUGCCUAACACAUGCAAGUCGAACGAGACCUUCGGGGCUAGUGGCGCACGGGUGCGUAACGCGUGGGAACCUGCCCUUAGGUUCGGAAUAACUCCCCGAAAGGGGUGCUAAUACCGGAUAAUGUCUUCGGACCAAAGAUUUAUCGCCUUUGGAUGGGCCCGCGUUGGAUUAGCUAGUUGGUAGGGUAAAAGCCUACCAAGGCGACGAUCCAUAGCUGGUCUGAGAGGAUGAUCAGCCACACUGGGACUGAGACACGGCCCAGACUCCUACGCGAGGCAGCAGUGGGGAAUAUUGGACGAGGGGCGAAAGCCUGGUCCAGCAAUGCCGCGUGAGUGAUGAAGGCCUUAGGGUUGUAAAGCUCUUUUACCCGGGAUGAUAAUGACAGUACCGGGAGAAUAAGCUCCGGCUAACUCCGUG